Molecule: ribosomal RNA, 117 nt
Filed under: Danio rerio (zebrafish)
Lineage: Eukaryota; Metazoa; Chordata; Actinopteri; Cypriniformes; Danionidae
Source: RNAcentral
UGACUCGGCCAUGUCACCCUGCAGCCCAAGACCGGUUACUCACUGAAGCUAAGCAGGGCUGAGCCUGGUUACUACCUGGAUGGGAGACCACUAGGGAACACUAGGUUGCUGUUGGAA